CAAUAGCGUAUAUUAAAGUUGUUGCAGUUAAAAAGCUCGUAGUUGGAUUUCUGUGAGAGUGCCGGUGUCGGCUGAUGCUUGUACGCAGGCGCUCUUACAUCCUUCUGUUAACUGAUCUUGGCAUUUUAUUGCUGGUUCAGGGCUCAGAUAUUUUACCUUGAGAAAAUUAGAGUGUUUCAGGCAGGCUUAUGCCGGAAUAUAUUAGCAUGGAAUAAUGGAACAGGACCUGUGCGUCUUUCGGGGCGCCGGUCUCCGUUAUUGGUUUCGGGGACUAAAGUAAUGAUUAAUAGGGAUAGUUGGGGGCAUUAGUAUUUAAUAGUCAGAGGUGAAAUUCUCGGAUUUGUUAAAGACUAACUUAUGCGAAAGCAUUUGCCAAGGAUGUUUNCAUUG
RNAcentral lists this ribosomal RNA (390 nucleotides) under uncultured eukaryote. Its description in RNAcentral is "partial 18S ribosomal RNA". It matches the Rfam family "Eukaryotic small subunit ribosomal RNA", at positions 592 to 975 of the family's 1831-position model. The record is from RNAcentral.